Molecule: long non-coding RNA, 311 nt
Filed under: Ananas comosus (pineapple)
Lineage: Eukaryota; Viridiplantae; Streptophyta; Magnoliopsida; Poales; Bromeliaceae
Description: long non-coding RNA (ACOM_LNC034166)
Source: RNAcentral
AUUCUCUAUGCGUACAGAUAUAGAAGGAACAUGCGGAGCCCAUAAGCCACUCAUUCUGUCUGCGUGUCUUAUCCGUAACUGUGAAGACGAUAUCAUUUUUAUCUGAUUUUUCUGCUGCAACGCUUGCUUCUGUUUCAAUAUUGGUGUUUUCCUAACUUUGAUUUUUAUCACCGUUAUUCUUCCAUCACUCUUUAUUUUUCAACUUAAAACAAUCAGCUUUUAUGUGAUCCUUCUUCUUAUAAUAACCACAAAUCAGAUUCCUGUACUUUGACUUUGAUCUAGAUGUGUCACGCCCCGAGACCAGCCUAUUU